ACUCCUGCGGGAGGCAGCAGUGGGGAAUUUUGGACAAUGGGCGAAAGCCUGAUCCAGCAAUGCCGCGUGAGUGAAGAAGGCCUUCGGGUUGUAAAGCUCUUUUGUCAGGGAAGAAACGGUGAGAGCUAAUAUCUCUUGCUAAUGACGGUACCUGAAGAAUAAGCACCGGCUAACUACGUGCCAGCAGCCGCGGUAAUACGUAGGGUGCAAGCGUUAAUCGGAAUUACUGGGCGUAAAGCGUGCGCAGGCGGUUUUGUAAGUCUGAUGUGAAAUCCCCGGGCUCAACCUGGGAAUUGCAUUGGAGACUGCAAGGCUAGAAUCUGGCAGAGGGGGGUAGAAUUCCACGUGUAGCAGUGAAAUGCGUAGAUAUGUGGAGGAACACCGAUGGCGAAGGCAGCCCCCUGGGUCAAGAUUGACGCUCAUGCACGAAAGCGUGGGGAGCAAACAGGAUUAGAAACCCCGGUAGUCCCA
Molecule: ribosomal RNA, 471 nt
Filed under: uncultured organism
Description: partial 16S ribosomal RNA
Rfam family: Bacterial small subunit ribosomal RNA
Source: RNAcentral